CUUGAUGCCAAGAAUGACGGGCGAUAUGUGCAUUUUCAUUACCUAUUUUAACAAGAAAUUAUUUUAAUUGUUUAGUUAUAAGUCCACCUUACUACACUUUAAUUUUGAGACCGAGUUUUAAUGCAUUGUAUUACACUUUAUUUUUGUUUACCUUCACCUUUAUUUGUAUACUGAAAAUAUUUUGGUUAGAAUAGUUUCUUAAAACAAUUCUUUACAAUGGUAUAAAAAGUAUAACAAAAUACAAUAAAUCGUGGAUUAUCGAUUACUAAGCAGAAUCCCCUAUAGAGUUUGAGAACCGCCGAAUAAAUUAGCUUCUUUUUAUUUAAAUAAUGGCCUAUAUUUUUUUAGAA
This 350-nucleotide ribosomal RNA is filed under the name Rhombacus sp. GX42. RNAcentral describes it as "partial small subunit ribosomal RNA". Lineage: Eukaryota; Metazoa; Arthropoda; Arachnida; Trombidiformes; Eriophyidae. The record is from RNAcentral.